Long non-coding RNA from Oncorhynchus keta (chum salmon), 542 nucleotides. RefSeq lists it as uncharacterized. Lineage: Eukaryota; Metazoa; Chordata; Actinopteri; Salmoniformes; Salmonidae. The transcript is spliced from 3 exons. The record is from RefSeq and is a predicted model, not a curated record.
GAAACGCCCCAUAAUUCAAUUCGCGAAGAUUGUACAUCCGCUAAGAAAAGACAGCGAAAGAUUAAAAACAUCAAUGGAGAAAUCAAUAUACAUCGUCACACAUGUAACAGUGGUUAAUGCGUCUGACCAAGGACUUGGGCAUGUCCUUCGUCGACCAUUUUGACUCCUUCUGGAACAGGCCUGGCUACUUUGGUAGACGGAAUUCACCUGGGUGAAAAUGGCUCCCGGCUGUGGUCAUCAAACAUUGAGUCUCCUGACUUCAAGAAGGGAACAUGGACCAAUUGACUGGGGCCACAGUGAAAUGAACAACUUGUUCUGUUAGACACUAGACACUUUCAUUUUAUUCCAUAGACACUUUUGUUAUCUACAUGUCUGUUCAUAACAGACACUGUUUUACUAUUGUUCCAAAAUAUUUAUAUUCAGAAACAUUUGUAACUACACUGACACAUUUUAAUCCAUAGACGCUUGUUUACAAGUCUGUUCUCAGCAGUUGCUUUUGUCUUGUGGUUUACUUUCAGAAUCAAGAAUAAAGGUUUAUUAAU